AUGAACGCUAGCGGGAGGCCUAACACAUGCAAGCCGAGCGGUAUUUGUCCUUCGGGACAGAGAGAGCGGCGUACGGGUGCGGAACACGUGUGCAACCUGCCUUUAUCUGGGGGAUAGCCUUUCGAAAGGAAGAUUAAUACCCCAUAAUAUAUCGAAUGGCAUCAUUCGAUAUUGAAAACUCCGGUGGAUAGAGAUGGGCACGCGCAAGAUUAGAUAGUUGGUGAGGUAACGGCUCACCAAGUCAGUGAUCUUUAGGGGGCCUGAGAGGGUGAUCCCCCACACUGGUACUGAGACACGGACCAGACUCCUACGGGAGGCAGCAGUGAGGAAUAUUGGACAAUGGGUGAGAGCCUGAUCCAGCCAUCCCGCGUGAAGGACUAAGGCCCUAUGGGUUGUAAACUUCUUUUAUACUGGGAUAAACCCACUUACGUGUAAGUAGCUGAAGGUACAGUAUGAAUAAGCACCGGCUAACUCCGUG
This 478-nucleotide ribosomal RNA is filed under the name uncultured bacterium. RNAcentral's name for it is "partial 16S ribosomal RNA". It matches the Rfam family "Bacterial small subunit ribosomal RNA", at positions 29 to 507 of the family's 1533-position model. The record is from RNAcentral.